Non-coding RNA from Hordeum vulgare subsp. vulgare (domesticated barley), 138 nucleotides. The record is from Rfam. NCBI's taxonomy places the organism in Eukaryota, Viridiplantae, Streptophyta, Magnoliopsida, Poales, Poaceae.
UAAGUACUUCCUUUGUCCCAAAAUUUUUGUCUUAGAUUUGUCUAAAAAUGAACGUUUUUAAAUACCAAACCAUGAGAGUAGAUACAUGCAUAUCUAGACAAAUCUAAGACAAGAAUUUUGGAACGGAGGAAGUAUGAG